CCUACGGGAGGCAGCAGUAGGGAAUCUUGCUCAAUGGGGGAAACCCUGAAGCAGCAACGCCGCGUGGAGGAUGAAGGUUUUCGGAUUGUAAACUCCUUUUGUUAGAGAAGAUAAUGACGGUAUCUAACGAAUAAGCACCGGCUAACUCCGUGCCAGCAGCCGCGGUAAUACGGCGGGUGCAAGCGUUCCUCGGAAUCACUGGGCGUAAAGAGCGCGUAGGCGGGAUAGCAAGUCAGAUGUGAAAUCCUAUGGCUUAACCAUAGCACUGCAUUUGAAACUGUUAUUCUAGAGUAUGGAAGAGGUAGGUGGAAUUCUUGGUGUAGGGGUAAAAUGCGUAGAGAUCAAGAGGAAUACUCAUUGCGAAGGCGACCUGCUAGAACAUAACUGACGCUGAUGCGCGAAAGCGUGGGGAGCAAACAGGAUUAGAUACCCGAGUAGUC
RNAcentral lists this ribosomal RNA (440 nucleotides) under uncultured bacterium. Its description in RNAcentral is "partial 16S ribosomal RNA". It matches the Rfam family "Bacterial small subunit ribosomal RNA", at positions 338 to 795 of the family's 1533-position model. The record is from RNAcentral.